RNAcentral lists this unclassified non-coding RNA (311 nucleotides) under uncultured fungus. RNAcentral's name for it is "sequence contains ITS1". The stretch from base 1 to 105 matches the Rfam family "5.8S ribosomal RNA", at positions 50 to 154 of the family's 154-position model. Lineage: Eukaryota; Fungi. The record is from RNAcentral.
GAAAUGCGAUAUGCAAUGCGAAUUGCAGAACUCCGCGAGUCAUCAGAUUUUCGAACGCAACUGGCGCUGAGAGGAUAUCCUCUUAGCAUGUUUGUUUCAGUGUGUUGUUCACUUCAUAAAACUUAAUGCGAUUGAAGGAAACUUGUUUCUUUCUCUCGUUAAAUAGGAAAGUAUAAUGAUUCUCAAACUUCCAACGAAGCGGUCACUUUUAGAAGUGAUUUCGUUCGGAAAAUUUGCUUAUCAAUAAUUUAUACCAAAAACUUCUCUACCUAUGACAUCUGAAAUCAAGCAAGAUUACCCGCUGAACUUAA